This 231-nucleotide unclassified non-coding RNA is filed under the name uncultured fungus. Its description in RNAcentral is "sequence contains ITS1, 5.8S rRNA gene". The stretch from base 183 to 231 matches the Rfam family "5.8S ribosomal RNA", at positions 1 to 49 of the family's 154-position model. Lineage: Eukaryota; Fungi. The record is from RNAcentral.
UCUCCGUUGGUGAACCAGCGGAGGGAUCAUUGCUGGAACUGUGUCCGCAAGGACACAACCCCAGAUACCCUUUGUGAACACAACUUGUUGCUUCGGGGGCGACCCUGCCGUUUCGACGGCGAGCGCCCCCGGAGGCCUUCAAACACUGCAUCUUUGCGUCGGAGUUUAAGUAAAUUAAACAAAACUUUCAACAACGGAUCUCUUGGUUCUGGCAUCGAUGAAGAACGCAGC